Patella vulgata (common limpet) is the source of this 531-nucleotide long non-coding RNA. RefSeq lists it as uncharacterized. The transcript has 3 exons. The record is from RefSeq and is a predicted model, not a curated record. NCBI's taxonomy places the organism in Eukaryota, Metazoa, Mollusca, Gastropoda, Patellidae.
GUCUUACACGGACUCCGUGUAGACUGAAUGAUUUAAUAGAAUCGAAGACUCCAGAGUGUUAUAUGACGUCAAUUGGUCACACACACACUCUCCAGGUGCAGCCGAGGUGCAGGGUUUCAAACAAGAAUGGUCCGACGAGACAGAUAUGUGGGAGAAAUUAAGUUUUUGGUUUCAUUAAGCGUAAGAAAUAUCCCAUCCAAAAUAACGUCCAAGGACAGAGAUGAACAAGAAUUGGGAUGCACAGAUCUUCAGAAUUGUAGACGUAUAUAGAACUUACUUACGAAAAUGUGAAAGAAAUUAUUUCAUGGGUACGCCGUGGAGAUUCCACAGAAAUACAUCGUUUAGGGGAUUACCGAGCCUUGGCAAGUUCAGAUGAUGUUGUGCUUGGUGGUUUGGGUUCGAGGAUAAAUAGUCAAUGAAAUAUGUGAAGCAGUUAUAUCAAGAAGAAAACGUGUCAUGGUUCUUACUGAUGAAUCAUCAAACAUGUCCACGCAGAGAAAAAUAAUCUUGUAAAUUUAGAAGAAAUCCCAC